This is a long non-coding RNA of Glycine soja, 269 nucleotides long. RefSeq lists it as uncharacterized. Lineage: Eukaryota; Viridiplantae; Streptophyta; Magnoliopsida; Fabales; Fabaceae. The transcript has 2 exons. The record is from RefSeq and is a predicted model, not a curated record.
AUACUCUUUUCUUCCUUCAUCGUCAUCACGCACUUUCUCUCUCUAACUCAUUCUCUCUCUCUCUCUCUCUGAAUUUUCUCCUCUCUCUGAUUCCUUUUAUUAAUUGGAGUUUACUCGCUCCUUUUCCUUUCCCUGAAAACAUUUCCUCGUCGUAUUGAUGUCAGAAAAGGGCCGCCCACUUCCAAAAUUGGGUGAAUGGGAUGUCAAUGAUCCAACCUCAGCUGAGGGGUUCACAGUGAUUUUUAAUAAGGCCAGGGAUGAGAAAAAGA